Cucumis melo (muskmelon) is the source of this 238-nucleotide long non-coding RNA. RefSeq lists it as uncharacterized. NCBI's taxonomy places the organism in Eukaryota, Viridiplantae, Streptophyta, Magnoliopsida, Cucurbitales, Cucurbitaceae. The record is from RefSeq and is a predicted model, not a curated record. The transcript has 3 exons.
UUCAGUCUGUGUUGCUUCUUGAUGGAACUCCAGAUGUACACUUUCGUCGAGCUUGUGGCGGGCAAAAGCUUAGAAACAUGAUGUUGGAUUCUAAUAUUGACUUGUAUGGACCUUAUUCGAGAUUUCUGUUGAACUGUGCUGGUGGAGGAACCUGUGGGACUUGUAUGGUGGAGAUUGUUGAAGGGAAAGAGCUACUGAAUCCUCGUACAGACAUAGAGAAAGGCAAACUCAAAAGGGU